This 398-nucleotide small RNA is filed under the name Pan troglodytes (chimpanzee). RNAcentral's name for it is "processed transcript". The record is from RNAcentral. Lineage: Eukaryota; Metazoa; Chordata; Mammalia; Primates; Hominidae.
GGCAGAAUUGCUUGAACCCGGGAGACGGACGUUGCAGUGAGCUGAGAUCGUGCCACUGCACUCCAGACUGGGUGACAGAGCAAGACUCCGUCUCAAAAGAAAAAAAAAAAAGAACACAGCACAGAGAAGAUGCCCAGAGCCCUUCACUGUGGGCCCAUGAGAUGACACAGAUCUUUCCACUAGGCCAUCCUGUUUUGUUGCUGGAGAACUUUGUCCCUGGAAGGGCAGAAAUGAUUAUUCUGGUUGCCCAAGGCCUGGUGGCCCAGGUGGAAGAUGCAAUGCUGAUGUUUGAUAAAACUACCAACAGGCACAGAGGGUUUGGCUUUGUCACUUUUGAGAAUGAAGAUGUUGUGGAGAAAGUCUGUGAGAUUCAUUUCCAUGAAAUCAAUAAUAAAAUG